Lepus europaeus (European hare) is the source of this 472-nucleotide non-coding RNA. Lineage: Eukaryota; Metazoa; Chordata; Mammalia; Lagomorpha; Leporidae. The record is from the annotation of a RefSeq genome assembly.
CACUCAGUGAUCGCACUGAACACACACUCUCACCAUGGAUAUUGGGCUGCGCUGGGUUCUCCUGGUCGCUGUGCUCAAAGGUGUCCAGUGUCAGGAGCAGCUGGUGGAGUCCGGAGGAGGCCUGGUCAAGCCUGGGGGAUCCCUGAAACUCUCCUGCAAAGGCUCUGGGUUAGACUUCAGUAGCUAUGUAAUGUGCUGGGUCCGCCAGGCUCCAGGGAAGGGGCUGGAGUGGAUCGCGUGUAUAAAUAGUUAUGGUAGCACAGACUACGCGAGCUGGGUGAAUGGCCGAUUCACCAUCUCCAGCGACAACGCCCAGAACACGGUGGAUCUGCAAAUGACCAGUCUGACAGCCGCGGACACGGCCACCUAUUUCUGUGCCAGAGGCACAGUGAGGGGCCCUCAGGCUGAGCCCAGACACAAACCUCCCUGCAGGGGCGCGCGGCUCCACCAGGGGGCGCACAAGACACACUGA